Molecule: ribosomal RNA, 497 nt
Filed under: uncultured bacterium
Lineage: Bacteria
Description: partial 16S ribosomal RNA
Rfam family: Bacterial small subunit ribosomal RNA
Source: RNAcentral
GAUGAACGCUGGCGGCGUGCCUAAUACAUGCCAGUCGAGCGAACGGACGAGAAGCUUGCUUCUCUGAUGUUAGCGGCGGACGGGUGAGUAACACGUGGAUAACCUACCUAUAAGACUGGGAUAACUUCGGGAAACCGUAGCUAAUACCGGAUAAUAUUUUGAACCGCAUGGUUCAAAAGUGAAAGACGGUCUUGCUGUCACUUAUAGAUGGAUCCGCGCUGCAUUAGCUAGUUGGUAAGGUAACGGCUUACCAAGGCAACGAUGCAUAACCGACCUGAGAGGGUGAUCGGCCACACUGGAACUGAGACACGGUCCAGACUCCUACGGGAGGCAGCAGUAGGGAAUCUUCCGCAAUGGGCGAAAGCCUGACGGAGCAACGCCGCGUGAGUGAUGAAGGUCUUCGGAUCGUAAAACUCUGUUAUUAGGGAAGAACAUAUGUGUAAGUAACUGUGCACAUCUUGACGGUACCUAAUCAGAAAGCCACGGCUAACUACGUG